This 203-nucleotide unclassified non-coding RNA is filed under the name uncultured fungus. RNAcentral describes it as "sequence contains ITS1". Lineage: Eukaryota; Fungi. The record is from RNAcentral.
GUAUAGUAGUGCGUGUGCACAACAGUAAUUUCAUUACAUUCGAGUUUGUGUAAAAUUCCUCUGCCGGCCGAAGCUAGCAAGAGGCCAAAGGUUCACAGGGGUAUUGGAUGAAAGCCACCGCCGUGCACUUGCCAGUUCUGGCCAGCACAGACGGCAACCAUUCGUAAUCAUUAAUGAUCCUUCCGCAGGUUCACCUACGGAAA